GGAUAAUCAAGCUUUAAUUACUCUUCAGGCUUAUUGUGAUGUCAAUAAUCCAUGUAAGAGUGUCCAAGUAAGUUCCUUCUUCUCUCUGCUUCACAUAAAAGCAUUUAGAAAGUUGAAAAAAGAAUUAUAUUUACGAUAUUUGGUCUUUUAUAUCUUUGUUGAGCUUCUUUUCCGCAUUCUUGCCCUUCUUGGGGUUCCGGGAAGAAUCGGACCACAAUGGUCUAUUCUACACAGCUUUAUCCUGCAUUUCUAUAGGAGGUUGUUUUCAACAGCUCGAACUCAUGAUUUUCUGGUCACAUAACAGCAAUUUCAUCAGUUACGUCAAGGCUCUCCUUCAUUCUCGCAUAUUGUUAUAGGUUAUCUAUUCAAUUAUUUGGCGGUAUUUAAUUGGAUAUAGAGUGCAAGCAAAACCGACCAAAUAAAGCUUUUAGAACCCAAAAAACUGAAUUAAUUUUGAAUUUUGAUUUGGUUUUUGGUUCACCUAAACAAAAAUCGAAAACUGAACAAAUCGAAUAGUUGGACAACUAAAUUGAAUCAAUCGAUGUUAUAGGGAGCGUUUUUUCUUUUAGUGGACCUUAUGCAAUACGAAUCUGGAAUAGUCAGUGGGUUUCGACCCUGAAUGCAUUGAACAAAACACAAAAAGAGUAAUUAUUGAUUACUUAUUACUCUUGUUGCUGGAACAUCACAAAGCCUUUUUGUUGGAACCCUAAUUUGUUUGAGACCGAGGCGUAAUUGUUGUUGUUGGUAUUUUUGCUGGAACCUCACAAAACCUUUUGUGAAAAAUGUACCUGCAGAGAGUGGCAGCAGAGGCGGUCGCCACCAUUGCUGCCACCGCCCGCCUGCGCCCUCGGCCACAGCCAAAAUGCAGUGCUAGUGAUGAAGCAAAGGUUAAAAAAUGCAUGACAAACACAACCUCCAUAGAUGCAUGUUGCCCAACAUUCCAAAGCAUAUUGGGCAAGAGUUGCCCUUGUUAUGCUUAUGCCAUGUUAUUAGACAAUCAAGCUUUGAUUACUCUUCAGGCUUAUUGUGAUGUUAGCAAUCCUUGUAAAAAAGUGCAAGUAAGUUCAGCCAUCCCCUUUUAAUCUACUCAACCUUGAGCCAUAUAUUUCAUUUUAUACGACACUCUUUUUUUUAAUCUCGUAAAAAAUAUAAAAUGACAUACUUUUAUUUUUAGAAACUCUUUAAUAUAUUAAACCAUCCAUUUUAUCCUAGCUACUAGAAUCAGUUGCGGAUCUAGAGCAUUGUAUAUGAAUUCCCGGGAACUUAAGUAACUUUUGCAUAGAUCCUGUAUUUCUAUUAAGAAAUUCACUAAAUAUCUAACUGUGAACUCAAUUAUUGUUGUAUAUUAAUUUAAGAUUGCAGAGCAACCCAUAAACUCCAAAUCAUGGAUCCGCCUCUGACUAGAAUGCUCUAUUAUAGUGAUAGAAAUAGCAUAGUCGGGUUAUCGGGUAUAUAGGAUGCCUUUGUAUGCACCAAAUUCGUCUUUCUAAUUUUUAUUUUUCUUUUCAAAAUACCAUACUAGUGAAAUAUCACCAUAUAAUAUAAAAUUAUUAAUUACUCCGUCUCAAUUUAUAUGGCACUGUUUGAUUUGGCACAAAAUUAAAGAAAAAUAUAAAAAAAAACUAAAACUUAUGGUCUAAACUAAGUUUUAUACAUUUGUAUGGUUAUUACAAAUCACCUCAUUAAUUCUGUGGUUAAUUUGCUGGUUUCAGGUGAUAUGAUAGAGCUAGCCAGGAUGGAGAUGGAAAAAAUUAAAUAAUAAUGAACGUUUAAUUCCUAAUGAUGAACUACUCCUAUUUGUUUACCUCUGUUGCAACUGAUCUGUUUUAUCUUCGUACUGUUUUAUAUUUAAGACUUUGAGCAAUAACUUAGCAUCCUUUUGCAUUACAUAUGUGCUCGUAGCAUUCUUUUUUUGCAUUUCGUAUGUUCUCAAACAGGCCCUGACACCACGUUUUGUGCAACAGAAUAUGGAAUAUAUAAAAAUGCGAG
RNAcentral lists this long non-coding RNA (1989 nucleotides) under Nicotiana tabacum (common tobacco). RNAcentral's name for it is "long non-coding RNA (NTAB_LNC015433)". Lineage: Eukaryota; Viridiplantae; Streptophyta; Magnoliopsida; Solanales; Solanaceae. The record is from RNAcentral.